This 87-nucleotide non-coding RNA is filed under the name unclassified sequences. RNAcentral describes it as "skipping-rope RNA". It matches the Rfam family "skipping-rope RNA". From Rfam's summary of the family: Firmicutes, Fusobacteria, AlphaProteobacteria, Spirochaetes. Downstream gene The record is from Rfam by way of RNAcentral.
UAAAAUCUGAGGACGGAACAGGCGGCCGUCGCCAGAAAACCACAUGGUUUGAGUAGGAGAUGUGGGAAUGUCACCCCACCUAUUUUA